This is a long non-coding RNA of Scylla paramamosain (green mud crab), 1457 nucleotides long. RefSeq lists it as uncharacterized. The transcript is spliced from 6 exons. The record is from RefSeq and is a predicted model, not a curated record. NCBI's taxonomy places the organism in Eukaryota, Metazoa, Arthropoda, Malacostraca, Decapoda, Portunidae.
UCAAAAUCAUUUGCGUAACGUAAAUAUGGCGGACGUGACGUCAUCAGCCGCCUUCAUCCGGGGACCGAGACCCUGGACCUUCCCUCCUCCCAGUGCCCUUCCAUCAGUAUUUAGUGUUAUUUCCUAUAUUUUCCAGCUGUUUUCAUGCAUAGAGAAGAAUAGAAAGAGGAGGAAAGAAGGAGAAAUGAAGAAGGAGGAGGAAGAAGAGGGAAGGGAAGGAGGAAGAGGAGAAGGAAAAGAAGAAAUAUUAAGAAAAGAUUUUCACUGAAUUUCCAGCGUUUUAAAGAGCAACGGCAACCCUCCGAUCCGGCAAGCAGGUUGGCGGCAGCGAUGGCGGUGGCGGCAGCAGCGGUGGUGAGGUGGACGGCAGGGACGGAGGGGCGGUACAGGCUGCGGACAUCAAGGAGAAAAAGAACGUGCGGAGAAGCAAGGUGGCAUUCAGCAGUGUGAUCCUGGACCUGGUCGGCUUGACGGUGGUGGUGCCUCUGUCUCCUGCUCUCUUUGACUGUUACUCCAAGCACGACUCCAGCGGCUUGUAUUCCUCUGUGCUCUCCUGUGUGACUUGUUACCAGCAUAUCAUCGGCGUCCCUGCGAGGUUCCACUCUGUCUUGUUUGGUGGUAUGUGGGGCCUAAUGAUGAUGAUUCCUGCUUUCAUCCUCAUCGGGGCUAACGAGACCAACCUGGGGCUGUACUCUGGACUGACGCUGUAUGCCAUAGUGCCUUGAGGUGCCAAUCAUUUCUGAAGUUUAUGAAAGCAGAAACGGCUCUCCAGAAUAUGAUUUUUACCCUAGAUCUUCCCUUCAGCGGACUAGAGGAUAAAGGCCCCCACACACGGAGCGAUUUUAGAAGCGCGACUUGAGAAGCGUAUUCUGGGUUGCCCCCACACACACGGCAACUGGUGCAGUGACAGCAUAUCCCCUCCCCCGCCAUACCCCCCAUCCCCGCUACUGUAUCCACGUGGACUGCCAUCUCAUUCACCAAUGACGCGGGAAUAAAGAUCAGUCUGCCUGACUCCGCUUGGUAGUGAUGGAGGUCGAGGAAGCAGCCUGUCUUUGGAUGCUGUAUCGUCGCUGCCAAAGGCGAAAAAAGAAAGUGAGAGAGAGUGAUGUCAUCCCAAAUGGCUGGACGUUUUUCUAUUUCAUCUAUUAAUAAUUCGGUAUCAAAGCGGUCAGCAGAUCCCUGGUCACUCAUCUUGCUAUGCGUGGUUGUGAUGCACUACCCCAAGCCGGAUGUUACCAGUUACCCAGCACUGCCCCACCCAACUGCCCCGCGCUCGGACUCCACGUGGAGGAAAACUCUGCCUGAUCGCUCAUUGGCUCUAGUGUCACCCCUACCAGCCAAUGAGAUGCAAGUAGUGAUGAAAUCGCGGGAAGCAGUCGCCUCGUGUGAACGGCCUCAUAGAAACACAUGUUAACCGAGUCGCUCAAAAGUCGCGCUUCACCGAGGGAUAUCUCGAG